UACGUAGGGUGCAAGCGUUAAUCGGAAUUACUGGGCGUAAAGCGUGCGCAGGCGGUUUUGUAAGUCUGUCGUGAAAUCCCCGGGCUCAACCUGGGAAUUGCGAUGGAGACUGCAAGGCUAGAAUCUGGCAGAGGGGGGUAGAAUUCUACGUGUAGCAGUGAAAUGCGUAGAGAUGUGGAGGAACACCGAUGGCGAAGGCAGCCCCCUGGGUCAAGAUUGACGCUCAUGCACGAAAGCGUGGGGAGCAAACAGG
This 253-nucleotide ribosomal RNA is filed under the name uncultured bacterium. RNAcentral's name for it is "partial 16S ribosomal RNA". It matches the Rfam family "Bacterial small subunit ribosomal RNA", at positions 524 to 776 of the family's 1533-position model. The record is from RNAcentral.